UUAUUGAAAGCAUUGAGGUUCAGCUCCCUUCUCUUGCUGAUGAUCAGAAGCCCUGCGACAUGGUUGUUUCUGACAACAGCAGCAGAGAAAGUGACAAACAAGUACCAACACAACCAUGUCCUUCAAGCCAACAGCAAAUACCUAUGGACACUGAUGAUCUUUCUGACGAUUCUCCUACGAGGAACCCUAAUGACGAUAGUGAUCACAGUGAUGGUGAUUGUUGUGAUGACCCCUUUUAUUAUCGAUUUAUCCAUGGAAGAGAGCGGAGAUAUCGUGGAUAUCGAUAUAUUUGUGAUGCUA
Long non-coding RNA from Setaria italica (foxtail millet), 300 nucleotides. RefSeq lists it as uncharacterized. NCBI's taxonomy places the organism in Eukaryota, Viridiplantae, Streptophyta, Magnoliopsida, Poales, Poaceae. The record is from RefSeq and is a predicted model, not a curated record. The transcript is spliced from 3 exons.